Molecule: ribosomal RNA, 497 nt
Filed under: uncultured bacterium
Lineage: Bacteria
Description: partial 16S ribosomal RNA
Rfam family: Bacterial small subunit ribosomal RNA
Source: RNAcentral
GAUGAACGCUGGCGGCGUGCCUAAUACAUGCAAGUCGAGCGAACAGACGAGGAGCUUGCUCCUCUGACGUUAGCGGCGGACGGGUGAGUAACACGUGGAUAACCUACCUAUAAGACUGGGAUAACUUCGGGAAACCGGAGCUAAUACCGGAUAAUAUAUUGAACCGCAUGGGUCAAUAGUGAAAGACGGUUUUGCUGUCACUUAUAGAUGGAUCCGCGCCGCAUUAGCUAGUUGGUAAGGUAACGGCUUACCAAGGCAACGAUGCGUAGCCGACCUGAGAGGGUGGUCGGCCACACUGGAGCUGAGACACGGUCCAGACUCCUACGGGAGGCAGCAGUAGGGAAUCUUCCGCAAUGGGCGAAAGCCUGACGGAGCAACGCCGCGUGAGUGAUGAAGGUCUUCGGAUCGUAAAACUCUGUUAUUAGGGAAGAACAAAUGUGUAAGUAACUAUGCACGUCUUGACGGUACCUAAUCAGAAAGCCACGGCUAACUACGUG